This 2404-nucleotide ribosomal RNA is filed under the name Ericthonius brasiliensis. RNAcentral's name for it is "18S ribosomal RNA". It matches the Rfam family "Eukaryotic small subunit ribosomal RNA". Lineage: Eukaryota; Metazoa; Arthropoda; Malacostraca; Amphipoda; Ischyroceridae. The record is from RNAcentral.
CCUACCUGGUUGAUCCUGCCAGUAGUCAUAUGCUUGUCUCAAAGAUUAAGCCAUGCAUGUCUAAGUCCAAGCUGUGUCUUGACACGGCGAGACCGCGGACGGCUCAUUAAAUCAGUCGUGGUCCAAAUGGGCCAGGAAAGAGUUACUUGGAUAACUGUGGUAAUUCCAGAGCUAAUACAUGCAACUAGACCUUGAUGCCAGGGCAGCUUCGGCUGCUUAGUGGGUGCGUGCGUGGGAGCUUGUCUCCUGCGCCGUGCUCGGGCAGAAGGGUGCUUUUAUUAGACCAAACCGCUGGGGGAGUCUUGUCCUCGCGUAACGCUCUCGUUUCGGCGAGUGCGGCGGGGGCACAGCACUCCCGUAUCCCACGAUGUGGUGACUCUGGAUAACCAUCAUGCCGAGCGCACGUACUGGCUUCGUGCCAGACGGCGCCGCCACUUUCGAGUGUCUGCCCUAUCAGCUUCCAAUCGUUCGCUACACGCGACCGGUGGCUUUGACGGGUAACGGAGAAUCAGGGUUUGAUUCCGGAGAGGCAGCCUGAGAGACGGCUACCACGUCCAAGGACGGCAGCAGGCACGCAAAUUACCCAAUCCCAGCACCUGGGGGAGGUAGUGACGAAAUCUAACGAUGCGGGCGCCCCUCGUGGGCCCCGCAAUCGGAAUGAGCUUGUGGUAAAGAUCCAGCUGAGAACCUACUGAAGGGCAAGUCUGGUGCCAGCAGCCGCGGUAAUUCCAGCUUCAGUAGCGUAUAUUAAAGUUGCUGCGGUUAAAAGGCUCGCAGUUGAAUGUCAGUGCCAGGCGUUGGUCGGGUGGACGUUGGAGCGAGGGCACCCACGGCCUAGACUUGUGGUGUGAGCGCGGUCGCCUUCGCGGGUGUCGUGUCUCCGCGCUUGCGCGGUCGGCCUUACGUUUCCGUCCGUGACAAGCCCCCGCGCUUGUGUACACAUCGGGAUCGGUAUGGUCCUGUCUCCCCUGUUCGUGCGUUUCCCCUCGCGGGUUUCCACGUCAGGGAGCUGGACUUCGGUCCCAUGGCACCUCGAGCAAAUCAGAGUGCUCAAGGCAGUCGCAAGGGGCUUCCUCACGGGAGCCCCGGUAUUAUGGCAGACUUGGUAAAGCAUGGAAUGUCGAAAGACGAUGACGGGCGCAGGCCAGGGGAUGGCUCUCCUUGUGAUCAGGUGGCGGCUUUAGCCUGCCCCGUCGUAAUGAUUUAAAAGGGCUUGUCGAGGGCACUGGUAUUGCGGAGCGAGAAGGUGAAAUUCUGUGACCUCCGCAAGACCUCCUGAAGCGAAAGCGUCUGCCAAGGAUGCUUUCAUUAAUCAUGAACGAAAGUUAGAGGAUCGAAGGCGAUCAGAUACCGCCCUAGUUCUAACCCUAAACGAUACCAACCAUCAAUCCGCGUGAGCACCCUUUCGCACGGGCUCGGCGGGCAGCUCCUUCCACGGGAAACCAGAGUCUCUGGGUUCCGGGGGGAGUCUGGUUGCAAAGCUGAAACUUAAAGGAAUUGACGGAAAGGCACCACCAGGCGUGGAGCCUGCGGCUUAAUUUGACUCAACACGGGACAUCUCACCAGGCCAGCACUCUAGCAUGAUUGACAGAUUGAGAGCUCUUUCUCGAUUUAGUGGAUGGUGGUGCAUGGCCGUUCUUAGUUGGUGGAGUGAUCUGUCUGGUUAAUUCCGAUAACGAACGAGACUCUCCCCUGCUAACUAGUCGGUUGGAUCUUUUCCCAGUGGGUUUGUGUUGAGGCCUGGAUGGUUGCUGCCGGACGGGUUCGUUCGCGGCGUGUGCUGGGGUGCGUGCCUCUCCUUCAUUGGGGUGGGUACUGCCUCUCGCACCCGUGGGCGUCCCACCCGGCGUGCGCCUCCUGGUCUUCCUACCCCAAGUCCGCCGCUGAUUACAUAUCUUCUUAGAGGGAUCCACGGCUCUGAAGCCGUCAGAGACUGAGAGCAAUAACAGGUUCUGUGAUGCCCUUAGAUGCUCUGGGCCGCACGCGCGCUACAAUGCCGGGCUCAGCAGGUGUUUUCCCUAUCCCGAGAGGGACGGGGUAACCCUCUGAAAGCUCCUGCUUGUCUAUGAUGCGUUGGCGCUCCUCACGGGGUAGGGCGCUGUCUCUCUGAGCGGUGUCCGUGCCUUCGCCUAGGCGUGCUUGGGCCUGGGGCUUGCAAUUGUUCCCCACAAACGAGGAAUGCCUAGUAGCGGUGGGUCACUGAGCCCACCGUGACUUAGUCCCUGCCCUUUGUACACACCGCCCGUCGCUACUACCGAUUGGGUGUACCAGUGAGAGCCUUGGACUGGCGGUCAGCUUCUCUCACGGGAAGCAUGACAUGACUGAAAGAGGUACGAACUGGUGCACUUAGAGGAAGUAAAAGUCGUAACAAGGUUUCCGUGGGUGAACUGCGGAAGGAUCAUUA